Molecule: ribosomal RNA, 460 nt
Filed under: uncultured bacterium
Lineage: Bacteria
Description: partial 16S ribosomal RNA
Rfam family: Bacterial small subunit ribosomal RNA
Source: RNAcentral
CCUACGGGAGGCAGCAGUGAGGAAUAUUGGUCAAUGGACGAGAGUCUGAACCAGCCACGUAGCGUGAAGGAUGACUGCCCUAUGGGUUGUAAACUUCUUUUAUAAAGGAAUAAAACGUUGCGCGUGUGCCUUUUUGCAUGUACUUUAUGAAUAAGGAUCAGCUAACUCAGUGCCAGCAGCCGCGGUAAUACGGAGGAUCCGAGCGUUAUCCGGCUGUUUUGGGUUUAAAGGGAGCGUAGAUGGGUUGUUAAGUCAGUUGUCAAAGUUUACGGCUCAACCGUAAAAUUGCAAUUGAUACUGGCAGUCUUGAGUGCAGUUGAGGUAAGCGGAAUUCGUGGUGUAGCGGUGAAAUGUUUAGAUAUACGGAAGAACACCGGUGGCGAAGGCAGCUUACUAAACUGUAACUGACAUUGAUGCUCGAAAGUGUGGGUAUCAAACAGGAUUAGAUACCCGAGUAGUC